RNAcentral lists this ribosomal RNA (596 nucleotides) under uncultured bacterium. RNAcentral describes it as "bacterial SSU rRNA". It matches the Rfam family "Bacterial small subunit ribosomal RNA", at positions 248 to 863 of the family's 1533-position model. The record is from RNAcentral.
GUUGGUAAGGUAACGGCUUACCAAGGCGACGAUCAGUAGCCGACCUGAGAGGGUGAUCGGCCACAUUGGAACUGAGACACGGUCCAAACUCCUACGGGAGGCAGCAGUGGGGAAUAUUGCACAAUGGGCGAAAGCCUGAUGCAGCAACGCCGCGUGAGCGAUGAAGGCCUUCGGGUCGUAAAGCUCUGUCCUCAAGGAAGAUAAUGACGGUACUUGAGGAGGAAGCCCCGGCUAACUACGUGCCAGCAGCCGCGGUAAUACGUAGGGGGCUAGCGUUAUCCGGAUUUACUGGGCGUAAAGGGUGCGUAGGUGGUCUCUUAAGUCAGGAGUGAAAGGCUACGGCUCAACCGUAGUAAGCUCUUGAAACUGGGAAACUUGAGUGCAGGAGAGGAAAGUGGAAUUCCUAGUGUAGCGGUGAAAUGCGUAGAUAUUAGGAGGAACACCAGUAGCGAAGGCGGCUUUCUGGACUGUAACUGACACUGAGGCACGAAAGCGUGGGGAGCAAACAGGAUUAGAUACCCUGGUAGUCCACGCCGUAAACGAUGAGUACUAGGUGUCGGGGGUUACCCCCCUCGGUGCCGCAGCUAACGCAUUAA